This 1346-nucleotide ribosomal RNA is filed under the name uncultured bacterium. RNAcentral describes it as "bacterial SSU rRNA". It matches the Rfam family "Bacterial small subunit ribosomal RNA", at positions 28 to 1381 of the family's 1533-position model. The record is from RNAcentral.
GACGAACGCUUUCGGCGUGCUUAACACAUGCAAGUCGAACGGAAAGGCCCUGCUUUUGUGGGGUGCUCGAGUGGCGAACGGGUGAGUAACACGUGAGUAACCUGCCCUUGACUUUGGGAUAACUUCAGGAAACUGGGGCUAAUACCGGAUAGGAGCUCCUGCUGCAUGGUGGGGGUUGGAAAGUUUCGGCGGUUGGGGAUGGACUCGCGGCUUAUCAGCUUGUUGGUGGGGUAGUGGCUUACCAAGGCUUUGACGGGUAGCCGGCCUGAGAGGGUGACCGGCCACAUUGGGACUGAGAUACGGCCCAGACUCCUACGGGAGGCAGCAGUGGGGAAUAUUGCACAAUGGGCGGGAGCCUGAUGCAGCAACGCCGCGUGCGGGAUGACGGCCUUCGGGUUGUAAACCGCUUUCGCCUGUGACGAAGCGUGAGUGACGGUAAUGGGUAAAGAAGCACCGGCUAACUACGUGCCAGCAGCCGCGGUGAUACGUAGGGUGCGAGCGUUGUCCGGAUUUAUUGGGCGUAAAGGGCUCGUAGGUGGUUGAUCGCGUCGGAAGUGUAAUCUUGGGGCUUAACCCUGAGCGUGCUUUCGAUACGGGUUGACUUGAGGAAGGUAGGGGAGAAUGGAAUUCCUGGUGGAGCGGUGGAAUGCGCAGAUAUCAGGAGGAACACCAGUGGCGAAGGCGGUUCUCUGGGCCUUUCCUGACGCUGAGGAGCGAAAGCGUGGGGAGCGAACAGGCUUAGAUACCCUGGUAGUCCACGCUGUAAACGGUGGGUACUAGGUGUGGGGUCCAUUCCACGGGUUCCGUGCCGUAGCUAACGCUUUAAGUACCCCGCCUGGGGAGUACGGCCGCAAGGCUAAAACUCAAAGGAAUUGACGGGGCCCCGCACAAGCGGCGGAGCAUGCGGAUUAAUUCGAUGCAACGCGUAGAACCUUACCUGGGUUUGACAUGGAUCGGGAGCGCUCAGAGAUGGGUGUGCCUCUUUUGGGGUCGGUUCACAGGUGGUGCAUGGCUGUCGUCAGCUCGUGUCGUGAGAUGUUGGGUUAAGUCCCGCAACGAGCGCAACCCUUGUUCACUGUUGCCAGCACGUUAUGGUGGGGACUCAGUGGAGACCGCCGGGGUCAACUCGGAGGAAGGUGGGGAUGACGUCAAGUCAUCAUGCCCCUUAUGUCCAGGGCUUCACGCAUGCUACAAUGGCUGGUACAGAGAGUGGCGAGCCUGUGAGGGUGAGCGAAUCUCGGAAAGCCGGUCUCAGUUCGGAUUGGGGUCUGCAACUCGACCUCAUGAAGUCGGAGUCGCUAGUAAUCGCAAAUCAGCAACGCUGCGGUGAAUACGUUCCCGGGGCC